This 86-nucleotide transfer RNA is filed under the name Acidimicrobium sp. BACL27 MAG-120823-bin4. RNAcentral describes it as "tRNA-Tyr". It matches the Rfam family "tRNA". From Rfam's summary of the family: Transfer RNA (tRNA) molecules are approximately 80 nucleotides in length. Their secondary structure includes four short double-helical elements and three loops (D, anti-codon, and T loops). RNAcentral also lists the same sequence under 2 other names. Lineage: Bacteria; Bacillati; Actinomycetota; Acidimicrobiia; Acidimicrobiales; Acidimicrobiaceae. The record is from RNAcentral.
GGGUCGGUACCCAAGCGGCCAAAGGGAGCAGACUGUAAAUCUGCCGGCUUAUGUCUACGAAGGUUCGAAUCCUUCCCGGCCCACAA